UCCCUGGUGGCUCAGUCGGUAAAGAAUCUGUCUGCAAUGCAGGAGACCCGGGUUUGAUCCCUGGGUGGGGAA
Molecule: transfer RNA, 72 nt
Filed under: Bos taurus (domestic cattle)
Lineage: Eukaryota; Metazoa; Chordata; Mammalia; Artiodactyla; Bovidae
Also listed under: 3 other names
Rfam family: tRNA
About the family: Transfer RNA (tRNA) molecules are approximately 80 nucleotides in length.
Source: Rfam by way of RNAcentral